Molecule: long non-coding RNA, 416 nt
Organism: Falco peregrinus (peregrine falcon)
Lineage: Eukaryota; Metazoa; Chordata; Aves; Falconiformes; Falconidae
Exons: 2
Source: RefSeq, a predicted model, not a curated record
CUCCGAGGGGCCGGGGGAAGGAGCCGGGAUACAAACCUCCAGCAUCCAAGUGGCCACCAUCCUCCUCAUGAAGGGCUGGAUGUCCUUCUGGACGCACUUGAAGUAGGAGCAUUGGGGCAGAUACCUCUCCUCUAUGGAAACUAAGGGCUCCCCUUCGGUACCCACUGAGACGACUGGGGUAAAGGAUGAAACGCCCUGGCUUAGCAGGGUGCCAGCUCCACAUCCCGACCCCCACCCCUCCAGCCCUUGACCCACUCUCCCCUCUGGCACCCCCUUAAUCUGCAGCUGGAGGGGUACAGAGCUCCCUGCGAACUGCAGCCUCACGGCAAACCCGAAAAUGACCCGUGACGAGUGGGGGUUCCUCGGCUUUUUCGGGGUGAAAUCUAACAAUAAUCACCACGCUACUUCCUCCGGCA